RNAcentral lists this ribosomal RNA (685 nucleotides) under Clostridioides difficile. RNAcentral's name for it is "bacterial LSU rRNA". It matches the Rfam family "Bacterial large subunit ribosomal RNA", at positions 1329 to 2023 of the family's 2925-position model. Lineage: Bacteria; Bacillati; Bacillota; Clostridia; Peptostreptococcales; Peptostreptococcaceae. The record is from RNAcentral.
CCCACAGGCCGUAAACCCAAGGUUUCCAGGGGAAGGUUCGUCCGCCCUGGGUUAGUCGGGACCUAAGCUGAGGCCGAAAGGCGUAGGUGAUGGACAACAGGUUGAUAUUCCUGUACUACCGAUAACCGUUUGAGAGAAGGGAUGACACAGUAGGAUAAGCUAAGCACACUGUUGGUUAUGUGUGCCCAAGCAUUGAGGCAGUCAAAGUAGGCAAAUCCGCUUUGAUAAUGCUGGGGUGUGAUGGGGAGCGAAAUUUAGUAGCGAAGUAGCUGAUUUCACACUGUCAAGAAAAGUCUCUAUCGAGGUUAAAGGUACCCGUACCGCAAACCGACACAGGUGGGUGAGGAGAGUAUCCUAAGGCCAGCGAGAGAACUGUUGUUAAGGAACUCGGCAAAAUGACCCCGUAACUUAGGGAUAAGGGGUGCCACCAUCAGGUGGCCGCAGAGAAUAGGCCCAAGCGACUGUUUACCAAAAACAUAGGUUUCUGCUAAGUCGCAAGACGAUGUAUAGGAGCUGACGCCUGCCCGGUGCUGGAAGGUUAAGGGGAUCUGUUAGAGCAAUCGAAGCAGUGAACUUAAGCCCCAGUAAACGGCGGCCGUAACUAUAACGGUCCUAAGGUAGCGAAAUUCCUUGACGGGUAAGUUCCGACCCGCACGAAAGGAGUAACGAUUUGGGCACUGUCUCA